CAUUGUUUUUAAGUUGAUAAAUCACGCUGUUCCUAUAUAUACAUCCUUAUGUCAAGAAAAGCUACGUCAAUUAUCAACAUCACGCGCGAUAGCGUCUGCUUGCUCACAACUGCAGCUGACAUCUGCGCGCGACCACGCCCGACGUUGCUGCCGAGCUCUUGCUUAGCCGCUUGCUUCGCCGGCAUCAGCGUUCUCUCCCCGCAAUGUACACCACAUGAGAAAGAAGCUUUCGCUGCUGCUGCUCUUGCAAAGGCGGCGGGAGCGCAGAAAGCGUCUGCGGCCUCUGCGGCGACGUUGGUGGGUCCGCCCAGUCUUUCAACUGCGUAAAGAAGAAGGACUUUACGGCUAUGCAACGGAUACGUCAGGAUGACCACGGAGUUUUCUACAAGUUCUUUCGCAAGGCGCCGCAGCUCUUGGACAAGCUAUUGAGCUUUUUAGCAGAGGACCUCACACGGCAGCACCACAUUCGAGAAACCCCUGGAGCCUGGAGAAUGACUUGCUGUAGCAUUGAGAAGCAAUGCUUCCUAACAUAUCCAGCCUACGACUGCCUGCUGAAGCCAGCGAUGCUCCUGACUGCGGACUGCUGUGGUGUGCCUCAGAAUCCUCAGGAACCAGAACUUCUUGAAACAUCAGUGAUUCAAGAGAU
Molecule: long non-coding RNA, 646 nt
Organism: Dermacentor albipictus
Lineage: Eukaryota; Metazoa; Arthropoda; Arachnida; Ixodida; Ixodidae
Source: RefSeq, a predicted model, not a curated record